CCUGCACGGAGCGUGAUCGCUCCGCUCAGGCUGGAAUGUGGUCGGGCGACCGACUGAACCACUCG
RNAcentral lists this non-coding RNA (65 nucleotides) under Halapricum salinum. RNAcentral's name for it is "eL15-Euryarchaeota ribosomal protein leader". It matches the Rfam family "eL15-Euryarchaeota ribosomal protein leader". Lineage: Archaea; Methanobacteriati; Methanobacteriota; Halobacteria; Halobacteriales; Haloarculaceae. The record is from RNAcentral.